Molecule: ribosomal RNA, 301 nt
Filed under: uncultured bacterium
Lineage: Bacteria
Description: partial 16S ribosomal RNA
Rfam family: Bacterial small subunit ribosomal RNA
Source: RNAcentral
CAGUAGCCACGGGAAUACGUAGGGUGCAAGCGUUAAUCGGAAUUACUGGGCGUAAAGCGUGCGCAGGCGGUUUGUUAAGACAGAUGUGAAAUCCCCGGGCUCAACCUGGGAACUGCAUUUGUGACUGGCAGGCUAGAGUAUGGCAGAGGGGGGUGGAAUUCCGCGUGUAGCAGUGAAAUGCGUAGAUAUGCGGAGGAACACCGAUGGCGAAGGCAGCCCCCUGGGCCAAUACUGACGCUCAUGCACGAAAGCGUGGGGAGCAAACAGGAUUAGAGACCCCAGUAGUCCCUGUCUCUUAUAC